AUUUAUCUAAUAAAUUCAAUUAAGAAUUUAAGAAUUUUUUCGAAAUUUUCUGAAACUAUCAAAACAAAAAAAAUAUCAGAAAAAAGAGAAAAAUAAGGAAUUUCAGAUUUUUAGGAGGGCGUCCACUAUUUAGUCUCUAAAUCAAGGUUUUCGAUCCUUGAUUUUUUUCUAAUGAAUCGACAAAGACUUGGAAUAAUCUAAGAUGACUUUCUUAAAAAUAGAUUUUUUUAAUGCUAAAACGCGA
RNAcentral lists this long non-coding RNA (244 nucleotides) under Lathyrus oleraceus (garden pea). RNAcentral's name for it is "Pisum sativum (pea) long non-coding RNA (PSAT_LNC013837)". The record is from RNAcentral. Lineage: Eukaryota; Viridiplantae; Streptophyta; Magnoliopsida; Fabales; Fabaceae.